Molecule: non-coding RNA, 56 nt
Filed under: Salmonella enterica subsp. enterica serovar Typhimurium str. LT2
Lineage: Bacteria; Pseudomonadati; Pseudomonadota; Gammaproteobacteria; Enterobacterales; Enterobacteriaceae
Source: RNAcentral
UACGAAUUUUCUGUAGCACUAUAAGUAUUAAUUUAUUGUUAUUUUAUUGUUUUAUU